RNAcentral lists this ribosomal RNA (301 nucleotides) under uncultured bacterium. Its description in RNAcentral is "partial 16S ribosomal RNA". It matches the Rfam family "Bacterial small subunit ribosomal RNA", at positions 509 to 809 of the family's 1533-position model. The record is from RNAcentral.
CAGCAGCCACGGUAAUACGGAGGGUGCAAGCGUUAAUCGGAAUUACUGGGCGUAAAGCGCACGCAGGCGGUCUGUUAAGUCAGAUGUGAAAUCCCCGGGCUUAACCUGGGAACUGCAUUUGAAACUGGCAGGCUUGAGUCUUGUAGAGGGGGGUAGAAUUCCAGGUGUAGCGGUGAAAUGCGUAGAGAUCUGGAGGAAUACCGGUGGCGAAGGCGGCCCCCUGGACAAAGACUGACGCUCAGGUGCGAAAGCGUGGGGAGCAAACAGGAUUAGAUACCCGGGUAGUCCCUGUCUCUUAUAA